This is a long non-coding RNA of Pseudophryne corroboree (corroboree frog), 2064 nucleotides long. RefSeq lists it as uncharacterized. The record is from RefSeq and is a predicted model, not a curated record. Lineage: Eukaryota; Metazoa; Chordata; Amphibia; Anura; Myobatrachidae. The transcript has 4 exons.
AACCCUGGUAUAAGUAGCACUGAGGGGAUCGCAGCGGAUUUUAAAGCAUGAUCUGAUAUGCACUAGAGCACUUUUGAAUGAAAUGGGCUAAUCCCGCCCAUACUGUGACGUCAUUUGGGCGUCGAUAAUUGAAUGGUGGGUAGAUAAGGGGCCGGUGAGGCAAGGUCAGAUAGGCUGAUGGUAUCUCUGUAUGAUGGCAGGACGGCUGUUAAAUGAUGUUUAUGUCUCCUGAUGACGGUCUGCUAUGACCGAAAACGUUUGAGCUUACCUCUGGAUAACUAUAAUGGACUGUGUUACACAGUCAUGUAUGCUGUCUGGGCAAUAAACUUUUGCUAAAUAUCUCAUUAAGAAAAGACUGGUGAGUGCUCCAUUUUUUUGUAUCUACAAGUGGAUCCCCUGGAGGGUUUUCGUGGAAGACACCCCAGCUGUUGUUCCAGUAUUACACGAGUGGAGUUUAUCAGGACUGAAUAUGCUGGAGUAGCAGAUGUGAUGGCUGGGGAAUAUUUUAUUCAAGUGCACAGCACAUUUCCUGUUAGUAAUAUCAGGGAAGGACACUGCAGCCACAAAAUGGCUAAAGUCCCACGCUCUGAACUUGAACCUUAGAAAUGUUAGGGUCCCACCUGAUGAGAUCAUUUGGUCAUGAGCCAGUUCUAAUAAUACAGAGGGUGGCAUAAAGAACAUUUCUCCAUUAACAUUGUCAUCUAUGUACAAGAAGGUUCAUCUCCACAAUACAGAAGGGGCAAUCAAUUGAGUAUGAGGGGCAGACUAUAUGACCAGGAGCAUCUGGAGUACAGACUCCAGACGGAUAAGCAAGAACAAGAAUUUAAAGGAUAUUACAGCAAUUGCUUUUCAGCAUUUAAGAUACAAAAAACCUCUGCAAAAAUGGCUUCUUGUGGCAGGUGCACCCCAUUUCCCAUCCAACAAAAAAUGGGCGAUAUACGUAAAGGAACAGAUUUGCUGUAAACCCACUAUUCCACAAUACAGAUUGCUACUGUAAGACAACGCAACUAAUGGUUGGUCGCCUUAUACUCAAUGUUCCAGUUAAUCCUGAAGCCACCAAAGGGGGACAUUUAUCAAAGCUUGGAGGGGAGAUGUUCUAAGCCUUGGAGAAUGAGAGAGCGGAGAGAGAUAAAGUACCAGCCAGUCAGCUCCAAACUGCCCUGUUACAAGCUGUGUUUGAAAAAUGAUAGGAGCUGAUUGGUUGGUACUUUAUCUCUCUCCACUUUGCUUAGUAAAUCUCCCCCAAACAGAGAUAAAGUGGCUAAACAUAUAAUGUACCAACCAAUCAGCUCCUAACUUGACAUUUUUCAAACAGUCUGUAACAUGACAAUUAUGAGCUGAUUGGCUGGUACUUUCUUCUCCAAGCUUCGAUAACUCUUCCCGAGUCACGACCUUUGUUCUCAGAAGUCCAAAAUGGAUGCCUCCUAUGAGCAUUUAUUAAGGCCUUAAACAGCCAAUGAGAUAUAAGCUUUGGCUGCACCAAACAUCUGAUUGGCUGAUUUGUUUGACACCCAUUUACGCAAAAUUAUUAAAUAAAGAACUUUUAAUGUACAGUAGAAGCCACAUCCAGUUGUAGUUGAAAAUAAAAUGUCCGGCUCAAUCAUUUGCUUAUCUGCGAGAUGCACAGUAACUCAGAGCACAGUAUAGCACCGACAGAUACAUAUAAAGCCAGACAAGUGUCCCCAGUUUCAUGAACUGAGAGGCGAUCACGCAUGACAAGUUAACUGUUUAAUUAAAUGGAAAUCAAUUACCUUUGCAGUACAGAGCACGAAGCAAAAUGUGUGGGUUGCAUUUCUGUAUCAGGUGUCUAGAGACACAAAGCUAGGUGGCCAGAGGCGAAGGGGAAAAUGAAUUGCAACUCUGCAUUUAAUAUUUACAGCUCAAAGUACUUUACAUUAAUCAUUUCAAACAAUGCAAAACCUCUUACAUGGUUCAAGUUAAAACAAAUAAGUUGCUAGAAUUUUUUUAUUUUUUUUACUUUACAAUUUGCAAUUUGAGCACAUUUUACAGCUAAAAGUAGGGAUUAUCUUUGUUUUGACAGUACCACAGGGUCAGUUACAAAUG